AAUGGGGGAAACCCUGAUGCAGCGAUGCCGCGUGAGUGAAGAAGGCCUUUGGGUUGUAAAGCUCUUUCGUCGGGGAAGAAAAUGACUGUACCCGAAUAAGAAGGUCCGGCUAACUUCGUGCCAGCAGCCGCGGUAAUACGAAGGGACCUAGCGUAGUCGGAUUACUGGGCUUAAAGAGUUCGUAGGCGGUUAAAAAAGUUGGUGGUGAAAUCCCAGAGCUUAACUCUGGAACUGCCAUCAAAACUUUUUAGCUAGAGUAUGAUAGAGGAAAGCAGAAUUUCUAGUGUAGAGGUGAAAUUCGUAGAUAUUAGAAAGAAUACCAAUUGCGAAGGCAGCUUUCUGGAUCAUUACUGACGCUGAGGAACGAAAGCAUGGGUAGCGAAGAGGAUU
RNAcentral lists this ribosomal RNA (390 nucleotides) under uncultured Gammaproteobacteria bacterium. Its description in RNAcentral is "bacterial SSU rRNA". It matches the Rfam family "Bacterial small subunit ribosomal RNA", at positions 370 to 779 of the family's 1533-position model. Lineage: Bacteria; Pseudomonadati; Pseudomonadota; Gammaproteobacteria. The record is from RNAcentral.